This is a long non-coding RNA of Mastomys coucha (southern multimammate mouse), 806 nucleotides long. RefSeq lists it as uncharacterized. NCBI's taxonomy places the organism in Eukaryota, Metazoa, Chordata, Mammalia, Rodentia, Muridae. The transcript has 2 exons. The record is from RefSeq and is a predicted model, not a curated record.
CCCCUACGUCGGAACCCAGGGACGGACAAACCACGUGACCCGAACCCGGCUUCUCCCCACCUCACCUCCUGAGCGACACCAAGAUUCUCCCGCUUCUUUUUCGUCAUAUUGCUCGCUGUGUUUCCCCCGCGCUGGACCCGCCCACUAGGUCACAUCGCGCACGCGCAGAACCCCGUGCUUCCUUUCCAUUGGCCGGCGCGGCGGAAGGAGGCGUGGCUGCUGCGGUCGCCAUCUUGUUGAGGGGCGCGGCCAGCCUGCAGCGGCCAUGUUUGUGAGGGGCGCCCCCCCCACCCCACCCCCGGGAGCCCUUGAGUGAUGGUGCUGGAAGGGACCCGAGAUACCAUCUCGCUUGGCCGCCUGACUGCGACCUGCAGAGGGAACAGGUAGUAAAUCCUACCUGAACCGGACGCAGGCUGUUGAAGUUGUUUAGUGCGGUUCUCAGCUGAACACCCGGCGCGGGAAAAUCUUCCUUGAGAACGUUGUCUAUCAGCUGUCAAUCAACAACCCUUCCAGGAUUGGUUCCGUCCCAGAAAAAACAGACUCUGCUUCCCAAUUAUCCCAGGCGCUGGCCCAGGGGAGGUGAGAAGACGACGAUGGGGAGAAGCGCUGUGUUCUUUUAGAAGUGGCUCCCUUCUGUGUUUCUCUGGCACCAAGAAAAAGCCACAGAGCUCUCUGGGUGUGCCUCACGCCCGCCUCAUCUCUUCCCAGCUCCGGGCAAAGUCAAGAAAGCUCUCAACUCCCGUGUUAUUUCCUCAGACCUCCUCCCCUGGGUCAGAUGAUGGAAUAAAAUGCGCAAGGCGAGCCGG